RNAcentral lists this ribosomal RNA (95 nucleotides) under Escherichia coli. RNAcentral describes it as "partial 16S ribosomal RNA". It matches the Rfam family "Bacterial small subunit ribosomal RNA", at positions 1 to 89 of the family's 1533-position model. The record is from RNAcentral. Lineage: Bacteria; Pseudomonadati; Pseudomonadota; Gammaproteobacteria; Enterobacterales; Enterobacteriaceae.
UUAAAUUGAAGAGUUUGAUCAUGGCUCAGAUUGAACGCUGGUGGCAGGCCUAACACAUGCAAGUCGAACGGUAACAGGAAGAAGCUUGCUUCUUU